RNAcentral lists this ribosomal RNA (253 nucleotides) under uncultured bacterium. RNAcentral's name for it is "partial 16S ribosomal RNA". It matches the Rfam family "Bacterial small subunit ribosomal RNA", at positions 524 to 776 of the family's 1533-position model. The record is from RNAcentral.
GACGAACCAUCCAAACGUUAUUCGGAAUCACUGGGCUUAAAGGGUGCGUAGGCGGCCCGGUAAGUUGGGUGUGAAAUACCUCAGCCUAACUGAGGAAUUGCGCCCAAAACUGUCGGGCUCGAGGAAGACAUAGGUGAGCGGAACUUAGGGUGGAGCGGUGAAAUGCGUUGAUAUCCUAAGGAACACCAGUAGCGAAAGCGGCUCACUGGGUCUUAUCUGACGCUGAUGCACGAAAGCUAGGGGAGCGAACGGG